Long non-coding RNA from Helianthus annuus (common sunflower), 1349 nucleotides. RefSeq lists it as uncharacterized. The record is from RefSeq and is a predicted model, not a curated record. The transcript is spliced from 3 exons. NCBI's taxonomy places the organism in Eukaryota, Viridiplantae, Streptophyta, Magnoliopsida, Asterales, Asteraceae.
AACUAAACCUACCCUUAUAAGAUAUCUUUAAACCCUAAUACUAAACAAAGAGCAGCCAACUCCCUCACAUCUCUCUCAGCCGACACCCCCCUUCUCCUCUCCUUUCUCUGCGUAAUCAGGCCACCGGAGCAACCCUGGCCGACGCCGGUUCCUUCAACGGCAGGCAGCACCAUCUCUCUCUCUCUCACAAGCAAACCCGACACCGCACCUCUCGUCUCUCUCGCUCGUCUCCUCCCUCUAUUAAUCGUCGACGGCGGUGGGUAUUGGUUUCGCGACAGAAGACGGCGGCGGCGGCGGAGGUCUCAACUGCUGGUGUUGAAGACGACAGUGAUGAUUUUCCGGCGCACGACGACGACGUCAGUGGUCGUCGAAACAAGGCGACGGUGGUUCAGGUUAGAGAUUGAUUCGGAUUAUGUUGGUUCAAGUUCUGAUUCAAGUUUCGUCUCAGUUCUGUUUUUGGUCGGGUCUGGCAUGCCUGAUUUCGGGUUCUGACUUGUUUCGAAUCCUAACUCGGCUCGGGUUUCACGAGCAGUCUGUUUAGUUUUGGCUCGAGUCAGGGUUCAGUUCAGUCUCGGCUCACGUUCAGUUUCGGCUCAGUCAAACCGGUUCAGACUUCAUGUUCAGUUUCGGUGCGGAUUCGGGUCUCGGUCAAACCGCGGUCAACGGUCAGAAUCGAGUUCGGGUCAGCACCGGUCGAGUCAGUCUUAUCUGGUUCGGGUCGACGGGUUAGACACGAGCCUCGGUAUAAUAACGUCGCGCAUAUAAAUUAUGUUGUUUCGUAUCUAUUUAUUUAUUUAUUUAUUUUUGUCGCGGAACCGCACCUGAUAUAAUUUGUAAACAUAAUAGAUAAGUAAAUAUAUCCAUAUUGUUCCGUUUAUUGCUUAUUGAAUUUUGAGAAUUUUAACGACAACUUGCGUUGUCGGGAUCGUACAAAAACAGAGGAAACUCUGUCCGAUUUUCUUUAAAAAUAUAUAUAUGUACUUUUUAGGCAAACCGCUAAUGAAAACGUAUCGAAGUCUAAAUGAUUUUUAUAACAAUAAGUAUAAACGUAUAUUUAUGUUGUCAACACUUUUAUAAUGCUAUUGAUAGGCUUAAUUUAGAAUUCUUACUUAAACAAUAUAAAUAUAUAUGUAUACAUAUGCAUAUAUACUAACUAGCUAUACUCUAAUUUCCAAUUCAAUCCUUCGUCGUAAUUCCGAUUUCUCAUAUGCCUGCGUUGGCCCAUAUAGGGUGACAUCGGUGUUCCAUCAUCCUAACCUCACACUCAUCGACACUUGGAUAAUCGGAAGACUUAACAAUUUUGUGGAUGUUGACGGCGCAUGGAAUCUAAUAGGAUGCUUAGAUACACA